UGGCCGAAGUCAGCAAAUUGUCUGUGUUAUUGAGUUUUCACGCAGAGAGUGAAUGAAGAUGGCAACCACAAGUAGUAAUUCAAACAUGAACUGUAUGGUGCCAGGCUGUAUGAAUUGGCUCCAAAAAAAUCCCUUGGUAAACUACCAUCGACUGCCCAAGGACCCACAACUUUUGUAGAAGUGGCUCCAUACCAUGAAGAGGAAGGACUUGCUUGAGCUAGCAGGAUCUGCAGACAGCUCUUCACGGAGGCAGACUUCGCAAUGAAGGGCACUUUCGAUGUGGCAACCGGGAGUUUCCGAAUGGAAAGCAGUCAUCGGACUACGUUGACGCCCUCCGCUUGCGCCUGAGGUAACGUUAACCGGUCAUGUGGUUGACUAGGCUAGCGUUAGACACAGGACAACUUUGUUGCAACUCUAAUUGAAGGAUGACAUCUUCAUCCCUGAAAAUGUUUUCAUCCUGGAGGAGACUGUUCAGGAGGCAAAAGAGGAAAGAACAGUUAGUACAGCCAAACUGACCCCUGGGUGCCAGAGUGUUUCCUGUGCUGCGGUGGAGAAGCGGUCUACCGGAACCAGCACUAAAGAGCUGGAUUUGCUACCGUGUCCCGGUUCUACUGUUUCGACUCUCUCUCUCUCAACCUCUAGCUAUGAAAAGCCAACUGAGGUGUUGAACUGUUGCACCCUCUAUAACCACUAUGGUUAUUAUUUUGAUGAUAAAAAAAGGGCUUUUGUAAAAUACAUUUGAUUGAUUGGUUGAUUGAUUGUUUUCUGUGCUGUAUGCUGUGUAUUCACUGUCUGAGUGAUGGGACAUUUUUAUAGUAUCUGUAACAUAUUUUGGUGUGUAUUAAAUCUUCACCUUAAAGUGGCAAUCAGCAGUAGAAACAAUAGCAAAGUCUCUCCCUGCUCCUCUUUGGGUAAAAAGCUGUGGGCUGGGGAAAUGUAACCACUCUCAAAUUCAUAGACAGAGCUAAAAGGACUGAACCUCCAUGAUAUCGCUUCGGAUAAAGGAAUCAGCUAAAUGGCAUAUAUUAUUAAAGUCUACUUUGACUCCCAA
This is a long non-coding RNA of Oncorhynchus mykiss (rainbow trout), 1051 nucleotides long. RefSeq lists it as uncharacterized. The record is from RefSeq and is a predicted model, not a curated record. Lineage: Eukaryota; Metazoa; Chordata; Actinopteri; Salmoniformes; Salmonidae.